ACCGAGCCUGGUUCCAGGAAUCUGAAUAUUGUGGGGGAGGAAGGAAAGCGCCGAAAAACAGAGGAGCUGGGGAAGAGCUGGCCCUGGACACUGUGCUCCAGUUCCAUCGGAUGGCAUUCCUGUUGGCCCUACAGAAACCACCAUGAACACAUGUGAGAAUUGUGUGAGGGGGAUAUGAGUGGCGCAUGGCAGGGUCUGCUACACAGACAAGCAAUUUUGUUCCCAUACAUUUCAUAAAUGUGAGCUGUCUUGCAGAUAUGAAGCAACCAGCAGAAGGUAAAAUCUGAGAGAAUUCUAGAGACACCAGUACUGACAUUAUGUCAGUGGCUGCUGCUGCUACUGCUGCUAAGUCGCUUUAGUCAUGUCCGACUCUGUGCGACCCCACAGACGGCAGCCCA
This is a long non-coding RNA of Bos taurus (domestic cattle), 398 nucleotides long. The record is from Ensembl. NCBI's taxonomy places the organism in Eukaryota, Metazoa, Chordata, Mammalia, Artiodactyla, Bovidae.